AAAAAAUUUUUAAAUAUAUAUAUUUAAUGGGGGUUAAAGUAUAUUUAUUGAAAAAAUAAAUUAAUUUAUAGUAAAUUAGUAUUGUGAAAGAAAUUUGAAAUAUUUGAAAUAUAAAUUCAAGUAAAAGUAAUUUUAAUUUAAUGUAUCUUGUGUAUCAGAGUUUAUUAAUAAAAAUUUAUGGUGAAGAAAUUCUCGAAUUUAAAAGAGAUAAUUAAUUAAUAAAGUUAUUGUAGCAAAAAUAUUUUAAAUAAUUAAUUGGAAAUGAAAUGUUAAUCGUUUUUAAAUAUAUCUAGUUUUUUUAGAAAAAAAUUUAAUUUUGUAUUUUCUAAAAAGAAAAUUAAUUAAUUAAUUUUCUUUUUAGAAAAUGUAAUAUUUUAAGGGAUAAGCUUUAAAAUAAAUUUAUAUAAUAGUUUUUCUUUAUUUUUGAAAUUUAUAUAAUUUAUAUUGUUAAUUAAUUAUAGUUUAUUAUAAAUAAUUUCAUUUAAAAUAAAAUUUAAUAUUUAAUAUUUAUAUUUUUAUAAAAAAAUAUUUUAAAAUUAUAAUAAAAUAGUUAUAAUGAUAAAAUUAGUAUAUAAAUAAUUUAAUAAAGUUAUUUUUAUAAUAAUUAAUUAAAAGGAAUUCGGCAAAAAUUUAUGUUCACUUGUUUAUCAAAAACAUGUCUUUUUGAAUUUAAUAUAAAGUCUAAUCUGCCCACUGAUUAAUAAUUAAAGGGCUGCAGUAUUUUGACUGUACAAAGGUAGCAUAAUCAAUAGUCAUUUAAUUGAUGACUUGUAUGAAAGAUUGGAUGAAAUAUAAACUGUCUCUUAAUUAUAUAAUAGAAAUUAAUUUUUUAAUUAAAAAGUUAAAAUAAUUUAAAAAGACGAGAAGACCCUAUAGAGUUUUAUAAAUAUGUUAUAUUAAAAUUAUUUAUAAAUUUAAUUAUUAAAAUUAACUUAUUUAUUUUGUUGGGGUGACAGAAAAAUAUAUAAAACUUUUUUUUAUUAAGACCAUAAAUAAGUGAUUAAUUGAUCCAGUUUUACUGAUUAUAAGAAAAAAUUACCUUAGGGAUAACAGCGUAAUUUUUUUUUUUAGUUCAUAUAAAAAAAAGAGUUUGCGACCUCGAUGUUGGAUUAAGAUAAAAUUUAAAUGCAGAAGUUUAAAAUUUUUGAUCUGUUCGAUCAUUAAAAUCUUACAUGAUCUGAGUUCAAACCGGUGUAAGCCAGGUUGGUUUCUAUCUUUUAAUAAUAUUAAUAUUUUAGUACGAAAGGAUUAAAUAUUAAAAUUAAAUUUAAAAAUUUGAAUAUUAAUAAAU
Molecule: ribosomal RNA, 1291 nt
Filed under: Condica capensis
Lineage: Eukaryota; Metazoa; Arthropoda; Insecta; Lepidoptera; Noctuidae
Description: 16S ribosomal RNA
Source: RNAcentral